This 834-nucleotide ribosomal RNA is filed under the name Hemithecium chlorocarpum. RNAcentral describes it as "SSU rRNA". It matches the Rfam family "Bacterial small subunit ribosomal RNA", at positions 359 to 1219 of the family's 1533-position model. Lineage: Eukaryota; Fungi; Ascomycota; Lecanoromycetes; Ostropales; Graphidaceae. The record is from RNAcentral.
UAUGGUCAAUAGCCUAACAGGCUGAACCAGCAACUUGGAGGAAUGUAUGGGGAAAACUGGUAAAAUGUGAUGUACCUGGUAGUAUUAGCAAUUAAUAUGAUAUUAACUAAGUUAAUUAAAAUUCUAUGUAGAUAUUGAUUAUGACAAUAUAUGCUUAUUUCUUGACCAAGUCACGUGCCAGCAGUCGCGGCAAUACGUGGUAGAUUAGUGUUAUUCAUCUUUAAUAGGUUUAAAGGGUACCUAGACGGUUAAUUAGACAUAGAAGUGUACUAAAAUUGACUAGAGUUUAAUGUAAGAAGGAUUGAGUACGGUGAGUGUAGAGAUAAAAUUCUGUCAUACCACUUAAGGAACUGGUAAAGGCGAAGGCAACCUUUUAUGUAAAAACUGACGUUAAGGGACGAAGGCUCGAAUUAAGUAACAGGAUUAGAUACCCUAGUAUUGUGGGCAGACAAUGAUGAGUGUCAUAUGCAAGAAUAUUUUUGUGUAUAAAUGAAAGUGUAAGCACUCCACCUCAAGAGUAACGUGGCAACAUGGGAACUGAAAUCAUUAGACCGUUUCUGAAACUCGUAGUGAAGUAUGUUGUUUAAUUUGAUUGCCCUCAAAGAACCUUACCACAAUUUGUAUAGCUUGAACAUAAAUUAUAGAUUAUUUAAACUAUAAUUCAAGCAACAAGCGUUGCACGGCUGUCUUCAGUUAAUGUUGUGAAACUUUGGUUAGAUCCAUUUAAUUGACGUAAACCCUUGCUUUAUUUAUUAUAAAGCAGUUCGCCGCUAUAUUGGUAGUGAUAUAAGGGACUAGGACAAGUCAUCAUGACCUUAACAUUGUGGGCUAUAA